UAUCGGUAUUAGAUGGUCAUGCGUUCUAUUAGUUAGUUGGUAAGGUAACGGCUUACCAAGACAUCGAUAGAUAGGGGCCCUGAGAGGGGGAUCCCCCACACUGGUACUGAGACACGGACCAGACUCCUACGGGAGGCAGCAGUGAGGAAUAUUGGACAAUGGAGGCAACUCUGAUCCAGCCAUGCCGCGUGAAGGAAGACUGCCCUAUGGGUUGUAAACUUCUUUUAUAGAGGAAGAAACGCAGAUACGUGUAUUUGUUUGACGGUACUCUACGAAUAAGGAUCGGCUAACUCCGUGCCAGCAGCCG
Molecule: ribosomal RNA, 307 nt
Filed under: Ostreococcus sp. 'lucimarinus'
Lineage: Eukaryota; Viridiplantae; Chlorophyta; Mamiellophyceae; Mamiellales; Bathycoccaceae
Description: partial Bacterial small subunit ribosomal RNA
Rfam family: Bacterial small subunit ribosomal RNA
Source: RNAcentral